This 301-nucleotide ribosomal RNA is filed under the name uncultured bacterium. RNAcentral's name for it is "partial 16S ribosomal RNA". It matches the Rfam family "Bacterial small subunit ribosomal RNA", at positions 509 to 809 of the family's 1533-position model. The record is from RNAcentral.
CAGUAGCCGCGGGAAUACGUAGGUGGCAAGCGUUGUCCGGAAUUAUUGGGCGUAAAGCGCGCGCAGGCGGAUCAGUUAGUCUGUCUUAAAAGUUCGGGGCUUAACCCCGUGAGGGGAUGGAAACUGCUGAUCUAGAGUAUCGGAGAGGAAAGUGGAAUUCCUAGUGUAGCGGUGAAAUGCGUAGAUAUUAGGAAGAACACCAGUGGCGAAGGCGACUUUCUGGACGAAAACUGACGCUGAGGCGCGAAAGCCAGGGGAGCGAACGGGAUUAGAUACCCCAGUAGUCCCUGUCUCUUAUACA